Molecule: unclassified non-coding RNA, 302 nt
Filed under: uncultured fungus
Lineage: Eukaryota; Fungi
Description: sequence contains 5.8S rRNA gene
Rfam family: 5.8S ribosomal RNA (bases 1-53)
Source: RNAcentral
GAACGCACCUUGCGCUCUCUGGUAUUCCGGAGAGCAUGUCUGUUUGAGUGUCAUGAACUCUUCAACCCACCGGUUCCUUGUUGGACCGGAUUGGUGUUUGGAUUUUGAGUGUUGCUAUUUAGUUAGCUCAUUCGUAAUACAUUAGCAUCUCAAUUUCGUAAUCGGAUUGACUCAGCGUAAUAGACUAUUCGCUGAGGACACCAUUUUGGUGGCCGAGACAUGAAAGAGUGGAAGCUUCAAACCCCGCCUAGUCAUUUUUAGAUUAGACCUCAGAUCAGGCAGGAUUACCCGCUGAACUUAAG